UUGCCUUAAACUAAUGAGUAAGGAAAAUAACUGCCUGGGUGAUGUCAGGCAUAACAAAUUUCUUUAAGGGUUUAGGACACUGUUAAGGUGACCCAUCUACUUAGUGGGAUGCCUGAUAGUGAUCUGCCCU
Biomphalaria glabrata is the source of this 130-nucleotide non-coding RNA. NCBI's taxonomy places the organism in Eukaryota, Metazoa, Mollusca, Gastropoda, Planorbidae. The record is from Rfam.